Molecule: long non-coding RNA, 810 nt
Filed under: Sus scrofa (pig)
Lineage: Eukaryota; Metazoa; Chordata; Mammalia; Artiodactyla; Suidae
Description: lncRNA (ENSSSCG00070011284.1)
Source: RNAcentral
GACAAGAGCAGAUAGAAUGUGCAGGUGUAGUUGGAAGCAUGGUUAGUAGCAGAGACUCGCCCUCCUUGAAGGAGACUUUGGCAGCUGUGGGUCAGAGUGCACGUAAGAGUUUUUCCAGGAAAAUUCGAAGGCUUUCUCCAAGAUGACCUCUGUGUUUUUCCUUUGGGACCUGGGACUAAAGGAAUUUUACAUUUGGGUUUUCUGUGGACAGACAGACAAUGAAAAACCUUUGAGUCUGUAGAGCGCGGGAGGCUUAGAUGCUGUCACUAAGAAUGUGCUUUUCUCUAGAUGCUGGAUGAGGAGGACACUGACAAAGACGGGAUGAGUUUGGAGGUCGACACUCCAGUGACGAACCAUCGGGGUGACGACGACGAUGACGAAGAAGAUCUCCCCGAGAUAGUGCUGGAUGACGUGCCUGCGGUGAGGGUGGCGGGACGGCCUCCAUUCGCUCCGCGGGUAAGUUGGGUUUUUAGUCUGAGCUCGCAGUGUUGCUCUAUUUCCCCUCCGUGGACAUUAAGUUAUGACAGCCUGAGCCUGCACGUUCCAGACCAUGUGGACGGUUCCGAGGGUUGGGACUCCAUGUCAGGCGCGUCUGUUGCCAACUCCCGAUGCCUGCUUCCGCAGGGCAAUGCGAUAACAACACCUGUCCCAGCCUGCAGAGGACAGAGCUCCUUCUCCAGAAGCAUCUUUUCCUCGAGGGAAAGAGUUCUGUCAUCUCCAACUGACAUGGCCUUGGACAUCCCGUCGUCUAGGACAAGUUCUUGCCUUUGUCCCCGAGGAGGGUUUGCUCUGCCUUUGCUGGGUUCUCUG